RNAcentral lists this ribosomal RNA (235 nucleotides) under uncultured bacterium. RNAcentral's name for it is "partial 16S ribosomal RNA". It matches the Rfam family "Bacterial small subunit ribosomal RNA", at positions 15 to 244 of the family's 1533-position model. The record is from RNAcentral.
GAUCCUGGCUCAGGAUGAACGNUAGCGGCAGGCUUAACACAUGCAAGUCGAGGGGCAGCAUAAUGGAUAGCAAUAUCUAUGGUGGCGACCGGCGCACGGGUGCGUAACGCGUAUGCAACCUACCUUUAACAGGGGGAUAACACUGAGAAAUUGGUCUAAUACCCCAUAAUAUCAUAGAAGGCAUCUUUUAUGGUUGAAAAUUCCGAUGGUUAGAGAUGGGCAUGCGUUGUAUUAG